CUUGGAACCAACCCAAAUGCCCACCAAGUAUAGACUGGGUAAAGAAAACAUGAUACAUAUACACCAUGGACUACUAUGCGGCCAUAAAAAUGGAUGAGUUCCUGUCCUUUGCAAGGACAUGGAUAAAGCUGGAAGCCAUCAUUCUCAGCAAACUAACACAGGAACAGAAAAGCAAACACUGCAUGUUCUCACUCAUAAGUGGGAGCUGAACAAUGAGAACACAUGGACACAGGGAGGGGAACAUCACACACCGGGGCUGUCGGAGUGUCGGAGGGUAGAGGAGGCAUAGCAUCAGGAGGAAUGCCUAAUGUAGAUGACAAGUUGAUGGGUGCAGCGAACCACCAUGUCAUGUGUAUACCUAUGUAACAAACCUAUAUGUUCUGCACAUGUAUCCCAGAACUUAAAGUAUAAUAAAAAAAAGAUUAUUAGCAGAAUACGUUUUCAUGACAUUUGUUUUCUUUUCCUGAUGCAAUAGAAAUUCCCAAAGUGAAAUUUUAUUCUAUAAAAAUAAUCUCUUCUUUCUAGGCUCUUUGUAGUUAGUGUGUGGUAUUGUGCCUGAGGCUCUACAGAACUGAUGCAUCUGCUGGCACACUUUGAACAUAAGUUAAUGAUACAAAGGAGCAGGAACUACACAGAAACUAUCAAAUUAAGGCAAGAGCAUUAUAUAUCAAAAUCUGAGACUCUCAGUUGGAAACAGACAUUGGUAGACGGAAAGCAGAUGUAAGAAGUGGGCAUUCUGCCAAAGUUGAAAUACCAGUAAGAAUGCAAAGUAUUUUUUUAUGUCUGACAAUGCCAAGAAAAAAAUUGGGGGCUGUCAUCAGCACUUUGGAUUCCAGGGAGUAGCUUGAUAAGCGACCUCUCAACUACUAAAAAGAAUGGAAACGGC
RNAcentral lists this long non-coding RNA (886 nucleotides) under Homo sapiens (human). RNAcentral describes it as "HSALNT0192426". Lineage: Eukaryota; Metazoa; Chordata; Mammalia; Primates; Hominidae. The record is from RNAcentral.